GGUUGAUCCUGCCAGUAGUCAUAUGCUUGUCUCAAAGAUUAAGCCAUGCAAGUGUUGUACAUUGAAAAUGAACAGAGAAACUGCGAAUGGCUCAUUAUAUCAGUCAUAAUUUCUUUGAUUGUUCCUUUACUACAUGGAUAACCGUGGUAAUUCUAGAGCUAAUACAUGCAAAAAGCUCCAACUUCAGGAAGGAGUGUAUUUAUUAGAUAAAAAACCAAUGCAGGCAACUGCUUCACUUGGUGAAUCAUGAUAACUGAUCGAAUUGUAUGGCUUUCACGCCGACAAUGGUUCAU
Molecule: ribosomal RNA, 293 nt
Filed under: uncultured eukaryote
Lineage: Eukaryota
Description: partial 18S ribosomal RNA
Rfam family: Eukaryotic small subunit ribosomal RNA
Source: RNAcentral